UACCCCAUGAUGCUCAGGUCCGCCGCAUCUCCUGAAUCGUGGGGUCGGCCGACUGGCAAGCUAUAACAGCGGUUCCUCGUGCCGCAUGCAAGCUGGUCGGCCCCC
Molecule: small RNA, 105 nt
Filed under: uncultured Gellertiella sp.
Lineage: Bacteria; Pseudomonadati; Pseudomonadota; Alphaproteobacteria; Hyphomicrobiales; Rhizobiaceae
Description: EcpR1
Rfam family: EcpR1
About the family: Perviously named SmelC291, SmrC10, or Sra33. According to its overproduction phenotype it was renamed Elongated Cell Phenotype RNA1.
Source: RNAcentral